Helianthus annuus (common sunflower) is the source of this 973-nucleotide long non-coding RNA. RefSeq lists it as uncharacterized. The transcript is spliced from 2 exons. The record is from RefSeq and is a predicted model, not a curated record. Lineage: Eukaryota; Viridiplantae; Streptophyta; Magnoliopsida; Asterales; Asteraceae.
GGGUGUUGGGGAUGUUUGUGGUGCUAAUGUUCAUCCCAAUUUAUGAGCACAUUAUAUGGGGCCUUGCUAUAGCUAGGGAGCUAUUUGAAGCCAAAAUCGGGAAGCUUGUUGAACUCGGGUUCAGUAGAGAUGCAGUUAUACAAGCUUUGAAGCUUUUUGAUGGUAAUGAAGAACGAGCAGCUGGAUAUCUUCUACCUCUGGAAAAGCGCGUGAAUCUGCUGUUUUUGUUUUGAUAUUUGCUGGUGCUGCAUUUUGGAUUAAUAUGCCAUUGGUCGUUUACACCUAAAUUGUGCAAUGCAUGAAGUAGCUACCGCUGAAACUUAGGAUAUGAUAGUUUAUACAGUUUGUUUUUGGCCAUUUAUCUUUGAUUCUUUAUCUACUUCACUUCAUUUCUGUGUUCUUUGAUUUUCAGGAUCCUUGCCACCAUUGGCCCAACUAAGUUAUUAUGGAUACUUUUGAUUCUGAGCUUGAAUUGACAAACAUUUGUUUAUCCUAAAGGUUGUUCCAAAAUUUGAUUUGGACAUUAACUAAGAUGAUGUGGAAGGCGGGUGUUCCAGCUAUGGACAGAUCAAGCAUAUAUAUGUUGACAAGUAUGUGUGUAAGUUCUUUAUCUCAGUCUACUAGAAUGAGCAUGUGUUAGAUGUGCAAAUUACCAUAACAUGGGUUUACAAGUAGCAUGAAUAAAACAAUUGGAGGAUCAUACAACAUCAGAAUUGGCCACAAGUUACAAGUUUACUCCCCACCACAACAGCAGUAAUGUGCCACGAACCCAUGAAUGCAAAUUUGCAGCACUUUUAGGUCUAAAACAAUGAGUAUGCGGACUUGAAGAAAACAGUCUGGAAAUAGUUCUUAGUUUAUGUGUAAAGUCAUUUUCAUUUGCAAGUUUUGUAGAUAGGUUAGUAUUGGUAUUUAAAUUGAAUACUUAUGUAUGGAUUUUGGGUUAUUAUUAUUAAUAGCAUUUGGUUUUUAGUUU